This 74-nucleotide transfer RNA is filed under the name Mus musculus (house mouse). Its description in RNAcentral is "tRNA-Ser". The stretch from base 8 to 66 matches the Rfam family "tRNA", at positions 8 to 63 of the family's 71-position model. Rfam says of the family: Transfer RNA (tRNA) molecules are approximately 80 nucleotides in length. The record is from RNAcentral. Lineage: Eukaryota; Metazoa; Chordata; Mammalia; Rodentia; Muridae.
GGAGAGAUGGCUCAGUGGUUAAGAGCACUGGACUGCUCUUCCAGAGGUCCUGAGUUCAAUUCCCAGCAACCACA